Molecule: transfer RNA, 76 nt
Filed under: Trichocoleus sp. FACHB-591
Lineage: Bacteria; Bacillati; Cyanobacteriota; Cyanophyceae; Leptolyngbyales; Trichocoleusaceae
Also listed under: 1 other name
Description: tRNA-Cys
Rfam family: tRNA
About the family: Transfer RNA (tRNA) molecules are approximately 80 nucleotides in length. Their secondary structure includes four short double-helical elements and three loops (D, anti-codon, and T loops).
Source: RNAcentral
CUCCAGGUCGCCAAGUGGGAAGGCGUUGGUCUGCAAAACCAACUAUCCGUGGGUUCGAUUCCCACCCUGGAGUCCA